UGGGGAAUUUUGCACAAUGGGGGAAACCCUGAUGCAGCGACGCCGCGUGAUUUAGAAGGCCUUCGGGUUGUAAAAAUCUUUUGUAUGGGAAGAAAAUGACAGUACCAUACGAAUAAGGACCGGCUAAUUACGUGCCAGCAGCCGCGGUAAUACGUAAGGUCCGAGCGUUGUCCGGAAUCAUUGGGCGUAAAGGGUACGUAGGCGGAUAAGCAAGUUAGAAGUGAAAUCCUAUAGCUCAACUAUAGUAAGCUUUUAAAACUGCUCAUCUUGAGGUAUGGAAGGGAAAGUGGAAUUCCUAGUGUAGCGGUGAAAUGCGCAGAUAUUAGGAGGAAUACCGGUGGCGACGGCGACUUUCUGGCCAUAAACUAACGCUGAGGUACGAAAGCGUGGGUAGCAAACAGG
RNAcentral lists this ribosomal RNA (402 nucleotides) under Verrucomicrobiota bacterium. RNAcentral describes it as "Verrucomicrobia bacterium partial 16S ribosomal RNA". It matches the Rfam family "Bacterial small subunit ribosomal RNA", at positions 355 to 776 of the family's 1533-position model. Lineage: Bacteria; Pseudomonadati; Verrucomicrobiota. The record is from RNAcentral.